GCCAGGUACGGUGGUGUGUGCUCGUAGUUCCAGCUACUUGGGAGGCUAAGACUGGAGAAUUGGUUCAGUUCAGGAGUUCUGGGCUAUAGUGUGCUAAGUCUAUCAGUUGUCUGCACUAAGCUUGACAUCAGUAUGGUGACUUCCUGGGAGCGAGGACCAGAUUGCCUAAGGAGGGGUAAACCAGCCCAGGUCAGAGAUGGAGCAGUUCAAAACUCCCAUGCUGAUCAGUAGCGUGAUCGUGCUGUGAAUGACCAUUGCACUCCAGUCUGGCAACAUAGCAAGACCCCAUCUCU
This 293-nucleotide signal recognition particle RNA is filed under the name Carlito syrichta (Philippine tarsier). Its description in RNAcentral is "Metazoan signal recognition particle RNA (ENSTSYG00000029578.1)". It matches the Rfam family "Metazoan signal recognition particle RNA". From Rfam's summary of the family: The signal recognition particle (SRP) is a universally conserved ribonucleoprotein. Lineage: Eukaryota; Metazoa; Chordata; Mammalia; Primates; Tarsiidae. The record is from RNAcentral.